RNAcentral lists this ribosomal RNA (223 nucleotides) under Glomeraceae sp. RNAcentral's name for it is "partial small subunit ribosomal RNA". It matches the Rfam family "Eukaryotic small subunit ribosomal RNA", at positions 560 to 785 of the family's 1831-position model. Lineage: Eukaryota; Fungi; Glomeromycota; Glomeromycetes; Glomerales; Glomeraceae. The record is from RNAcentral.
UCUGGUGCCAGCAGCCAUGGUAAUUCCAGCUCCAAUAGCAUAUAUUAAAGUUGUUGCAGUUAAAAAGCUUGUAGUUGAAUUUCGGGGUUAGUAGGCUGGUCGUGCCACUGAUAUGUACUAGUCUUACUGACUUCUCCUUUCUGAAGAACUGUAAUGCCAUUAAUUUGGUGUUGCAGGGAAUCAGGACUGUUACUUUGAAAAAAUUAGAGUGUUUAAAGCAGGC